This 1689-nucleotide long non-coding RNA is filed under the name Gossypium raimondii (Peruvian cotton). RNAcentral describes it as "long non-coding RNA (GRAI_LNC007147)". Lineage: Eukaryota; Viridiplantae; Streptophyta; Magnoliopsida; Malvales; Malvaceae. The record is from RNAcentral.
GAAAACAGGGGAGAAAGGAAAGAAAAAGAAAAAGGGAAGGAAAGAAAGAGAAUUUGGGAUUUCAAGGUUCAAGGUUCAAGGUUUGAUUGGUAAGUCAAUUUAGUCUCUAUUCUUAUAAUUUUUAUGUUUUUGGAACCCUAGAACAAAAUACUACUUGAUUUAAGUUGAAAAUUUGAAAGUUAGUAAAUUUUUAGAUGUUGUUCAUGUUGAAUUAAUUGAAGAAUUAGUGAUUAAAUUGAUAAAAUUUCAAGUUAGAACAGAGAAAUGGAUUAAAUUGUAAAAUAAAUUAUAGGUUUUGAAUUAGUAGGGACUAAAUUGAGAGAAUUUCGAAAUUAAGGAUUUAUGGUGAAAUUAGAGAGCUAAAUUAGUUUAAAGUGGGAAUGGAAUGAAAAUAUGAAAUUAGUUUUGAGAAUAAAAGUUAGUCUCGGUUCAAGGACUAAAUUGGAAUUUAGGCAAAUAUUGAGUAAAAAUUGAAAUAUUUAAUGUGAGAUUGAAUGAUGUUGUAUUGAUGAUUUUUAAUUGUUUUAAUUCCGUAGCUAGCAUCGUACCGGAAUUCUCGACAAAAAGAGGAAAAAUAUAGUUGACGAGGAAUAGCUCGGAAUUCUUAGUUUGUAUUUCUAUAAUCCGAAUCUAAUUAUUAAUUAUUGUAUUUUGAUUAAUUGUUAUAGUAAGUGAUUGAGGUGAGAAUUAUUGUGUUUUACAAUUGAAAUGGAUUGUCUUGAUAUGUGAUGAAAUUAUAUUGGUUGAAUUGAAUUGGAAUAUAUAUAUAUGUGUGUGUGUGUGUGUGUGUGUAAAUGUGAAAUUGUGCAAAUAUGAUAAUUGAAUUAUUUUUUAUAUGUAUAAAAUUCAAUUUUAAUGCCCAAGUAGACGGAAUUUAGAACUACUGGGAUAUUAGUGGUAUGCCAUUAAGGAAUUUUAGCGCGCUCUCUGAUUAUUAGCACAUCAGUGCUCUCUGAUUAUUAGCACGUUAGUGCUCUCUGAUUACUAGCACGCCAGUGCUCUCUGUUUAGCACAUCUGUGCUCUCUGUAUAGCACUUCAGUGCUCUCUGUUCAUUAGUGCAUAACAAUGCACCUCUGUAUUUGUUCCGUAUAUCUGGUGUGUUCUAUAAAAUCUACUUUGGGCUAAUAAUAAGAAUAUGAGAUAGUAAACUGAAAAUAGAAUGUAAAAUAUGUUGUAAAUACAUGGAAUACACGAGUUAUAUACUCAUAAAUUGAUUGUGGAAUGGAUAGUGUCAUUGUUUAAAUGAUACGUGAAUAAAUUAUGAAAAUGUAUUAUAUAUAGCAAGCGAUGAAAAUCGAGUAUUGUGUGAUUUUAAAUGUUCAAUUGUGUUUAACAUUUUAUUAUACAUAUUUUAUUGUUUUAUUUUUUUUAAAUAUUCAGAUUAUAGAAAUACCACUGAGUUUUUACUCAGCAUACGGUUUUAUUUUCCGUGCGCAGGUUAAGUACUUAAGUUUGAUCGCUGAUUCAGCAUCCAACAACGAUCCCGAACUCAGAUAUGGUGAUGUUUAUUUCUUUGUGUUGGCAUGUACCUAGGGUGUCUAAAUAUUAGUUAUUUUGUGGUUUGAUUGUAAAUGAAGUUAUAAAAUCUAUUUUGGAGAGUUUAUAAUUUGGAUUAAAAUGAUGCUUUGAUGACUUGUUUUGAUGAUAUAAAAUGUUUGAGAUUUCUGUCUGUUUAAUCUGUAAUCUCC